This 99-nucleotide transfer RNA is filed under the name Colletotrichum lupini. RNAcentral describes it as "tRNA-Leu". It matches the Rfam family "tRNA". Rfam says of the family: Transfer RNA (tRNA) molecules are approximately 80 nucleotides in length. Their secondary structure includes four short double-helical elements and three loops (D, anti-codon, and T loops). Lineage: Eukaryota; Fungi; Ascomycota; Sordariomycetes; Glomerellales; Glomerellaceae. The record is from RNAcentral. RNAcentral also lists the same sequence under 2 other names.
GGAAGGGUGGCCGAGUUGGUUAUGGCGCCAGGUUAAGGUUAGCUUAACAUCUGUUUCCUGGUGGGGCAACCCGCGCGAGUUCGAGUCUCGUCCCUUUCA